Molecule: small nucleolar RNA, 108 nt
Organism: Corylus avellana
Lineage: Eukaryota; Viridiplantae; Streptophyta; Magnoliopsida; Fagales; Betulaceae
Source: RefSeq, a predicted model, not a curated record
AUAUUGUGAUGUGGGCACUUUAGGAGCAAUGCAUUGAAGUGGUCCCAUGCCUCAAAGAAAAGAUCUCCAUCUCUUUAUUGAAACAUUUGAAGUUCCCUUUUAAAUUGU